GACGAACGCUGGCGGCGUGCCUAAUACAUGCAAGUAGAACGCUGAAGGAGGAGCUUGCUUCUCUGGAUGAGUUGCGAACGGGUGAGUAACGCGUAGGUAACCUGCCUGGUAGCGGGGGAUAACUAUUGGAAACGAUAGCUAAUACCGCAUAAGAGUAGAUGUUGCAUGACAUUUGCUUAAAAGGUGCAAUUGCAUCACUACCAGAUGGACCUGCGUUGUAUUAGCUAGUUGGUGGGGUAACGGCUCACCAAGGCGACGAUACAUAGCCGACCUGAGAGGGUGAUCGGCCACACUGGGACUGAGACACGGCCCAGACUCCUACGGGAGGCAGCAGGAGGGAAUCUUCGGCAAUGGACGGAAGUCUGACCGAGCAACGCCGCGUGAGGGAAGAAGGUUUUCGGAUCGUAAAGCUCUGUUGUAAGAGAAGAACGAGUGUGAGAGUGGAAAGUUCACACUGUGACGGUAUCUUACCAGAAAGGGACGGCUAACUACGUG
Molecule: ribosomal RNA, 495 nt
Filed under: uncultured bacterium
Lineage: Bacteria
Description: partial 16S ribosomal RNA
Rfam family: Bacterial small subunit ribosomal RNA
Source: RNAcentral